GGCGAACGGGUGAGUAAUAUAUCGGAACGUGCCCAUUAGUGGGGGAUAGCCCGGCGAAAGCCGGAUUAAUACCGCAUACGACCUGAGGGUGAAAGCGGGGAUCGCAAGACCUCGCGCUAUUGGAGCGGCCGAUAUCAGAUUAGCUAGUUGGUGGGGUAAAGGCCUACCAAGGCAACGAUCUGUAGUUGGUCUGAGAGGACGACCAGCCACACUGGGACUGAGACACGGCCCAG
RNAcentral lists this ribosomal RNA (233 nucleotides) under uncultured Burkholderiales bacterium. RNAcentral's name for it is "partial 16S ribosomal RNA". It matches the Rfam family "Bacterial small subunit ribosomal RNA", at positions 97 to 334 of the family's 1533-position model. The record is from RNAcentral. Lineage: Bacteria; Pseudomonadati; Pseudomonadota; Betaproteobacteria; Burkholderiales.